AUUGAACGCUGGCGGCAGGCCUAACACAUGCAAGUCGAACGGUAACAGGAAGCAGCUUGCUGCUUCGCUGACGAGUGGCGGACGGGUGAGUAAUGUCUGGGAAGCUGCCUGAUGGAGGGGGAUAACUACUGGAAACGGUAGCUAAUACCGCAUAAUGUCGCAAGACCAAAGAGGGGGACCUUCGGGCCUCUUGCCAUCGGAUGUGCCCAGAUGGGAUUAGCUUGUUGGUGGGGUAACGGCUCACCAAGGCGACGAUCCCUAGCUGAUCUGAGAGGAUGACCAGCCACACUGGAACUGAGACACGGUCCAGACUCCUACGGGAGGCAGCAGUGGGGAAUAUUGCACAAUGGGCGCAAGCCUGAUGCAGCCAUGCCGCGUGUAUGAAGAAGGCCUUCGGGUUGUAAAGUACUUUCAGCGGGGAGGAAGGGAGUAAAGUUAAUACCUUUGCUCAUUGACGUUACCCGCAGAAGAAGCACCGGCUAACUCCGUG
RNAcentral lists this ribosomal RNA (490 nucleotides) under uncultured bacterium. RNAcentral's name for it is "partial 16S ribosomal RNA". It matches the Rfam family "Bacterial small subunit ribosomal RNA", at positions 30 to 507 of the family's 1533-position model. The record is from RNAcentral.